Schistosoma mansoni is the source of this 45-nucleotide non-coding RNA. NCBI's taxonomy places the organism in Eukaryota, Metazoa, Platyhelminthes, Trematoda, Strigeidida, Schistosomatidae. The record is from Rfam.
AUCCAGCUGAUGAGUCCCAAAUAGGACGAGAUGAGCAUUCUUGAU